CAGGACUUUUGAGAACUCAUUGGGUAUAUAGAGGAACAGACUAAAGAAUAACAUUCAGUUUGGGCCAAUGGCAUGUAAGCAGAAGUGGUUGUGUACCAUCCCAGGAAGAGAUCUUUAGAGAGAGCCAGGCCUUACUCCAUCAUGCUACCUGGAGCGAAAACAGGCUAUCGAGAGUCCAGUCUUCCAUCGUAGACAGUGCUGUUGGGAGCCCCAUCCUUUUGGUGAGAGGAGUCAAACUGGAAGGAGGCAAUCACCUCCGUUGGCUUCAUUGCCCACAUCAUGGCAGCACCCGGGGUGCUUGAAGUUGAGGAAGGUCUGGAUUGCUGACAGUAAAAGCAACAGAGCGGUCUCUGGAAACAGUGGCGACAUGGUUCUCCUGCUUACCUUGAGCUUCUUGGGUGGUAAGGAGGUGAUGCUUUCAGAGAGAAUCCUUCAUGUUUUCUGUCACGGUUGGUGUCUAAUUCUUGUGGAUCAUGGAUGUUCAUG
Molecule: long non-coding RNA, 486 nt
Filed under: Heterocephalus glaber (naked mole-rat)
Lineage: Eukaryota; Metazoa; Chordata; Mammalia; Rodentia; Bathyergidae
Description: lncRNA (ENSHGLG00000035852.1)
Source: RNAcentral